GACGAACGCUGGCGGCGUGCUUAACACAUGCAAGUCGAGCGAUGAAAUUCUCUUCGGAGAAUGGAUUAGCGGCGGACGGGUGAGUAACACGUGGGUAACCUGCCUUAUAGUGGGGGAUAGCCUUUCGAAAGGAAGAUUAAUACCGCAUAAUAUUGUAGUUUCGCAUGAAACAACAAUUAAAGAUUUAUCGCUAUAAGAUGGACCCGCGGCGCAUUAGCUAGUUGGUGGGGUAACGGCCUACCAAGGCGACGAUGCGUAGCCGACCUGAGAGGGUGAUCGGCCACAUUGGGACUGAGACACGGCCCAGACUCCUACGGGAGGCAGCAGUGGGGAAUAUUGCACAAUGGGGGAAACCCUGAUGCAGCAACGCCGCGUGAGUGAUGACGGUCUUCGGAUUGUAAAAGCUCUGUCUUUAGGGACGAUAAUGACGGUACCUAAGGAGGAAGCCACGGCUAACUACGUG
RNAcentral lists this ribosomal RNA (463 nucleotides) under uncultured bacterium. Its description in RNAcentral is "bacterial SSU rRNA". It matches the Rfam family "Bacterial small subunit ribosomal RNA", at positions 28 to 507 of the family's 1533-position model. The record is from RNAcentral.